CUGUCAAGGACCCACCACCUUCCACUCUGCAACCUGGUGCUGUGUGUGGAAACCCUUCAGCAUCCAUUCAACCUUCAUCCCCUUCCUUCCAGUCAGACAGGCAUGAAUCUCAAGAAAUAACAAAUACAAUGACACUAUUUCUACUGGACCUUACAAAAACUCAUCAGCACCUUUAUUUUCGGAACAAAAUGGCAUUCUAUAAAAAAAUACAAAACCUAUUCUCACAAAAGGGCUACAACUUGUCAAGUGAGAAAAUUUGAAAAAAACUAGCAAACAUGUUAACUACUUAUAAGAGAGUGAAAGACAGGCGCCGUGCAUCUGGGGAAGGGAAGAUCACCUGGGAGUACUAUACACUAAUGGAUGAGUUAUUUGGGUCAUCGGGGAUCGGUACUGCACCACCUGGCACCAUUCACUCCACACCUCUGGGUUUGGAAGAGACCUCUUCCACAAGCAGGCCCACAACGUCUUCUCUUCAAGACCAGCCGGUAGGUGCUAG
Molecule: long non-coding RNA, 496 nt
Organism: Carassius carassius (crucian carp)
Lineage: Eukaryota; Metazoa; Chordata; Actinopteri; Cypriniformes; Cyprinidae
Exons: 3
Source: RefSeq, a predicted model, not a curated record